AACUGUGCGAACGUUAUUCGGAAUCACUGGGCUUAAAGGGUGCGUAGGCGGUUCUAUAGGUCAGAUGUGAAAGCCCACGGCUCAACCGUGGAAUUGCGUUUGAAACCAUAGGACUUGAGUGAGAUAGAGGUAAGCGGAACUGAUGGUGGAGCGGUGAAAUGCGUUGAUAUCAUCAGGAACACCGGUGGCGAAAGCGGCUUACUGGGUCUCUACUGACGCUGAGGCACGAAAGCUAGGGGAGCGAACGGG
RNAcentral lists this ribosomal RNA (249 nucleotides) under uncultured archaeon. RNAcentral's name for it is "partial 16S ribosomal RNA". It matches the Rfam family "Bacterial small subunit ribosomal RNA", at positions 528 to 776 of the family's 1533-position model. The record is from RNAcentral.